RNAcentral lists this long non-coding RNA (682 nucleotides) under Linum usitatissimum (flax). RNAcentral's name for it is "long non-coding RNA (LUSI_LNC008033)". Lineage: Eukaryota; Viridiplantae; Streptophyta; Magnoliopsida; Malpighiales; Linaceae. The record is from RNAcentral.
AACCUUAAUCAUCAUUCCAUUUCCAAUCAUAUAUUCUUUUGCCUUGCUACAUCAUCAAGGUAGUUAAGCAAGCUAAUGAGAUGCCUAGUUAUAAAGUUCUGUAUUGCGUCAAAAGUUAAAAUCACUUUAAAAUCAAAUGAUUACACACGCACGAUGCUUAUUAAUAUGAAUUAGGGUUUGAUUUCCCUAAAAGCGAAUUGAAUCCUAACUCUAACCUUCAAUCAGGAAAUUUCUAACCAAUUCAAAUUAAAGGACACUUGUAAACCCUAAUUGUUACCUAAAAUAAUUGUUUUACCUUACAAGUCGAGUUUGUGUCGGCUUGCAAUGGAUGCUCUUGAACUUGAUAGCUUUCAGGCUUCAUCUAUAACGACAAGGGAGAUCAAGAGAUCGAAGCAUCGAGCUAGGCAAGGAUGGAGACGAAUCGAAAGGGGAGACGAAGCUAUACAAGGAAGGAUAUGGGGAGAUACUCACUAAGAGUCAAGAGAAGACGUCGGAGAUGGCGAGGUGAGAAGACGCCGGAGAUCUGGGGAGAUAGAGAGGGAGAGCUGAGAGAAGAUAGCAGAGAUCUGGGGGGAGAUGGUGAGCGAGAGAAGAUAUGUGAGAUCUCUAGAUUUUUAGAGUUUGGAGUGCAAAUGGAUUUUGUAACAAUGAAAUACAUCUUACAUUAACAAAAAGAAGCAAG